Triticum dicoccoides is the source of this 3137-nucleotide RNA transcript. RefSeq lists it as uncharacterized. The record is from RefSeq and is a predicted model, not a curated record. The transcript is spliced from 4 exons. Lineage: Eukaryota; Viridiplantae; Streptophyta; Magnoliopsida; Poales; Poaceae.
CGUCUCCAGUCGCAGCCGCCGCCGCCACCGCACCCCAAUCCAACCCCGCCGCCGGCGAUCUCCUCGCCCCCCUGUGCCGUCGCCCCCAACCUUCUAUUCCUCUCCCAAGGGAAGGGAAGGGAAGGCAAGACAAGGGAAGGGAGAGGGAGCGCCCAGAUCCACGGCGGCAUCAGCGCGCCGUCCUCCACCUGAUCCGCGUCCAUCCACAGAUGGGAGCUAAUCGGCGCAGGAAAUCCCCGUCCCCGCGUCCGAGCCCCGCCACCCUCCGCAACGGCUCGACCGCCCAUCGACGCGCUGCCCCCGCGGCGCCCGACCAGUUUGGCUCUCGCGGCUGGUGGACGCGCCCUUGCUGUUGCCGACGCCGGCUCGCUGUGCCGCACUGGCCCUCACAAGCGUCUUCUGUCAAUGAUGGACUUGAGAGGUCAAGGAGUUUCCAUUGGGAGAUCGGGACAUGCUCCUCCAUCUCCUCCGGUGGACGACAUCCAACAUCGCCAGUUCAUGCACUUAUGGACUGAAGAAAAAAAUGGAAAUGAAGAAGAAAAGAAUUGCAAUAUUAUCAUAUGCGAGGUUUGCUUUUAACCUUGGUUCCUAACCAAUAUUUGCUUCAUAAUUCUGCCGAGAGAUUCACACUGUCAUUCAUAUUAUGAAUAUAGUUCAUAACCAGUAUUCUCUUUUAUCUAAUUAUAUGUACAGAAAGGAGUAAUCUGAAGUGAAUUCAUGCUAUGUUAACAGUCUAACAAGCAUCUUGGAGGUGUGAAUGCUUUCUUGGGUCUGACAAGUAAUCAAUAAUUGAUGGUAUACUGGGAUUUUUCUCAUACUUCUAGCACUUCCUCAUUGACAAUAAAGCAAGUAGUAUCACAACAAAGGCUAUCCAGGUAUUUUUUUUUCAACUAUAAUCCUUCCAGCUUUAGGGACUGCUCAAUUGGAUCUGCACAAUCCAACAAAAUAAAUGUGCAUAGUGUCUGCGACACUUUCAUUCGAUCAUCACGAAGGUAGUUGUAGGAGUAAAAAAGUAUGUCAUACUGUUUUUUCAGUUCAAGCCAAAAGGCUAGGACAGGUAAUACUUGUUUUUACAGUACUUGUGCAAAAAGUAUGUCAUACUGUUUGCUCUAGAUGAUUUUGAUGAAUUUUACAACCUUAUUUUCAGUUGUUUACCCCAAGAAAUGGUCUGCUUUCAUGGGGUUUAUUGAAUCCAGGAAAGAACUGUGAGUAGUAGCGAACCAGACAUGAAAAGUUUCAGACAACUACGAAAACUCCGGUCAGUUUUGUCGGGAUCUUGUGACACAGUUCCAGGACUCUAUUGACUAAGGAAAUGAUAUAUAUGUGUGAUUUAUCCUGUUAAAACUUUUAGUGUUCACUUAGGGGUGAGUGCAACCAGUAACUGAAUUUAGACUACGAACUAGAGUAUGACAGUAAAGUCAGGAGCAUGAUGGAGAACACGCGGGACACUGAGGACUAAUGAUCAACACUUAAAUCUUGCUUUACAUACAGUUCAGUUCCAAGUAGUCUGAUACAUAGAUGGCGAGGGGAGUGCUGAUUUGGGGUUGAUUUUGGUAAUUAUAUAUUUUCCUUGAUGGCUGUCAUUUUGUUGUCCUACAUGUGCUAUAUGAUAUGCAUAACAACUUGAGAGCACCUUUGCUUCUCUUGAUGUGCUUCGUCAUACAGUUUUUUAAAGUGCACAAGCAAGCUUGCGAGUGAUGACAACUACUAUGACCUACAACCUUGAAUCUAGGUUUUUGGGGUUGAACAUAGGGGCACAGCGCACUCUCCCAUCUAACCAGUGAAGCGUAAUGAAGGAAAAGCUACAAUAUACAAAUCGUCACCGUCAUUCAGUUUGUCCAAAACUGAGAAAAGCUCUUUAAAAAAACUGGGAAAAGCUCACGUGAUGGAAUGAGAUGAGAUUUCAACAUCAUGAUUGCGUUUUAUAAUUUGAACGACCAAAGUAGAUGGUCCCGUCAGCCCGUGUUUGACAAUAUGAAGGGACAAACUUGUUGAUCCAUUAUUUUGCCAGGAAAAUACAAUAAUUCGGAGGGCUUAAAUAUGGAUAAUAGAUCUGACAUAAUCUAGCAAGGUGAGUGACUCAAUUGCACAUGUGCAAAAUGGAAGUUUAAACUUCCUUGAAUCUCUUGUAGGGUUUGGGGGAGAUUGUCAGCGAGCCACUGAUGAAAGUCCUUUUGCGAUGACAAUGCUAGAGAAGAUUUGAAAGAUCUUGGUUGGCGUGGGGAAACUUGUGUAUUCCUGGAUGGGGGCGCCGUCCGGUGGCAGUGGGGUGUGGCAGUUGCCGCAGCUGGGCACAACCGGGAGUCCACCUAUCCAGAACACCCAACUAUUUCAUCCGGUGAACUGCGAAGAGCUUCUGUGUGCGUCUCUGUUAUAUUUAACUACGACAGGCUUAUGUUAUCUUAUCGCGAACUCAUUUUUCAGUUUGUGCCCAACGUGACUGCAUGUAAAUAUGUAAUACAGCAAUUUUGUUCUUCCUUUUUGUUGUUUGAUUGACUCAGUAUACCAUCUCAAAUGUCAUUCCCUUUAUAGCUAGCACAUCAUCUCCAAAGAAUUUAUUUAAGUUGAAAUCCAGUAAUUAUAUGUUGAUCGCAUAAGCAGGCUGAUGGUGUCUUGGUCGAAUUUUUUUAUUCCUUCUCUAUGGAACUAAAACUGUUCUUUCCUGAAUAUAUUGGAUCGCAAAGAACUAAACCUAUGUACAAUGUCUUUGGGCAUAUUCUGAAUUUGCAGAAUUAGCACAAAUCUGAAAGCAUAUAUGCAGCUCCCAGAUGUUGCAGGCUAGAGGAAGGGCAGGCACUCAUGCGAUACCAUGUAUCUGGUAGUGGUUUCGUUCCCCAGACGCUAUGCAUUUAUUGUCUGGUUGGACGCGCCGGGUGUGGGGACACUGCAGGACAUGUUUGAUUAUCAUGUCAGUGAAUUCUGGCGAGAAUGAACCAAGUGAGCUUUUGUAGCUGGUCUAUUCAAAAUGGAUGAACGGACCAGUUAGUGUACAUAUAAGUUUGCACUCUGUCUUCCUGCUCAUUCGUGCAAUGUGUUCAUGGGAGACUUAUUUUAGGAAAACAUAAAAUAAUUUUUCUUUCUGUGCGUACUACUCCAGCUUUCAAGUGCCAGGCUUCAAUAAAUCUGAAAUUUCUAUC